GACGAACGCUGGCGGCGUGCCUAAUACAUGCAAGUCGAACGCAGUGGGGACGGGUGAGUAACACGUGGGUAACCUCCCAUCAGAGGGGAUAACACUUGGAAACAGGUGCUAAACCGAUACGGAGGGAUGGACCCGCGGGGCAUUAGCUAGUUGGGGGGGUAACGGCUAAACAAGUCCAAGAUGCAUAGCCGACCUGAGAGGGUGAUCAGCCACACUGGAACGGAGAAACGGCCCAGACUCCUACGGGAGGCAGCAGUGGGGAAUCUUCGGCAAUGGACGAAAGUCUGACCGAGCAACGCCGCGUGAGUGAAGAAGGUUUUCGGAUCGUAAAACUCUGUUGUUAGAGAAGCGUUAUCUAACCAGAAAGCCACGGCUAACUACGUGCCAGCCGCCGCGGUAAUUC
RNAcentral lists this ribosomal RNA (403 nucleotides) under uncultured bacterium. Its description in RNAcentral is "partial 16S ribosomal RNA". It matches the Rfam family "Bacterial small subunit ribosomal RNA", at positions 28 to 526 of the family's 1533-position model. The record is from RNAcentral.